This 32-nucleotide ribosomal RNA is filed under the name Deschampsia antarctica (Antarctic hairgrass). Lineage: Eukaryota; Viridiplantae; Streptophyta; Magnoliopsida; Poales; Poaceae. The record is from RNAcentral.
GGAUGCGAUCAUACCAGCAAUAAAGCACCGGA